AAGGACUUGGGACCUGAUAAUGCAAAACACGUAGACAGUGCAACUAAAACUGCAGAGCCUGGAUCAGUUUGGAUGUAAAUAACCCUGCUUGGAAGGCUGGGGUAGAGGCUUGCUACCCUUCUUCAGAUUCAGUGUCAUGGUGACUACCUGGUGAUGGUUAAGGCAAUUCUCACCGUGGUCCAGGAGCUCCUGACACAGGAUGUACUUGCUGGGGCAAACCAAACAGAAGGAGGCUUGCCUGAUGCUUCAGAUGAGCAUAUUCUUGGUUUUGACACAGGAAAUGCAGUUCUCUGUGAAGCUGCUCAAGUUCUGCUGCAAGUAGAAGAACUCGAAGAGCUGCAGACAAAAAUGAAGGCAGCCCGAGUGGCUGUUCAGGCAAUUCUUGCUGAUCCAAGACAGACCCUGAAACCAGAGGAUUGUGGGGAA
RNAcentral lists this long non-coding RNA (426 nucleotides) under Bos taurus (domestic cattle). RNAcentral's name for it is "long non-coding RNA NONBTAT011976". Lineage: Eukaryota; Metazoa; Chordata; Mammalia; Artiodactyla; Bovidae. The record is from RNAcentral.